AUUGUGUCCAAUGCUCUGCCCACAGGACAGAAGGAAGCAUUGUGACCUCAUUCCUGUUCACACCUGCUGCCCUGAAAUUCUACCUUCGGCUUCAAGAGAUGGUCUACUUCCGCCCUUCUGUUAUAACACUAAUGUGUUCAACUUCCUAAAACCUGUAGAGCCAUGAUGGGAGUUCUGGAGGAAAUGUUCCACUGAGGAGAGCCACAAGGAGGAGAAGCAGAACACGGAUAAGAGAACCCAAGGUGCAUCUUCUACAGGGAACAUUAUAUUGCAUGCUCCUGCCCUACCUGAAGAGGGCUAGAACGUGAGGCUGUGGGACAGCAGGGGCAGGACAGCCACCGGGCCCUGCAAGGCUGUAUAAGGCAGUCGUCCCAGGCAGAGGUGAGCCGGCACCAGAGCACAGAGCCUUCUGAUUGCAAAGCCAGUACUUUCUCCACCAGCCAUUCUGUACCAUUACUGGUAACCCCAGUCCUUGUGCUGGAGGCCCCCAAAUUCCAACAUGCCUCCUACAAACACAUUGGAUUCUGUUCACUGACCUUUUCUAUAUGGAUGCUUCUGGAUGAGGCCUUUGAUGCCAGCUGAAAAGUAAGUGCCUAGGGAGAUUCCACACAAAGCCGUCAUCAGUCUCUGACACCUCAGAAUGAGUUUCCAUUAUUUCAAGCAAGCUGAAUUGAUGGGGAGAGAAAAAGGGAUCUGAAUGUGCUAUUAAGUAAAGAGGACACAGAACUAACAUCCAGAUGGAUAAAAGACAGACUGCCCACCCCAUGCAAUACUCUUUAUCAUUCGAGCUGGACAAGAACAUGCACUUGAGUAAGAUGUGAUUUCUGCUCUUAGGACCUCACUGUCUCAUAAGAGAAACUUGUGUGCAAUUUUUUUAAAAACCCUCAAUAGAACCCAAAAGGACUAUAAACACACUAUGGUCAUGUAUUCUGAAUCAGGUAUCCAUGCCCUGGGCACAAGCUUCAAGAACGCAUAACAGUAGGACCAAAUAUUUUAAAUCAACACUACCUCAGAAUAUGGGGCCAUGCCACCUGUAAAAGGCAUAUGCAAAUUGCCACCAGAAGUUUCCAGGGCAG
Molecule: long non-coding RNA, 1076 nt
Organism: Herpailurus yagouaroundi (jaguarundi)
Lineage: Eukaryota; Metazoa; Chordata; Mammalia; Carnivora; Felidae
Exons: 3
Source: RefSeq, a predicted model, not a curated record